AGCGAACAAGUGCAUGUGGUGGAUGCCUUGGCGAUCACAGGCGAUGAAGGACGCGGUAGCCUGCGAAAAGCUACGGGGAGCUGGCAAACAAGCUUUGAUCCGUAGAUGUCCGAAUGGGGAAACCCACUCCUUUUGGAGUAUCCAUGGCUGAAUACAUAGGCCAUGCGAAGCGAACGCGGUGAACUGAAACAUCUAAGUAACCGCAGGAAAAGAAAUCAACCGAGAUUCCCAAAGUAGUGGCGAGCGAAAUGGGAUGAGCCUUGUACUCUUUAUUUGUAUUGUUAGCCGAACGCUCUGGAAAGUGCGGCCAUAGCGGGUGAUAGCCCCGUAGGCGAAAACAGUAUGAAAGAACUAGGUGUACGACAAGUAGGGCGGGACACGUGAAAUCCUGUCUGAAGAUGGGGGGACCAUCCUCCAAGGCUAAAUACUCGUGAUCGACCGAUAGUGAACCAGUA
RNAcentral lists this ribosomal RNA (455 nucleotides) under Bacteroides ovatus. Its description in RNAcentral is "partial 23S ribosomal RNA". It matches the Rfam family "Bacterial large subunit ribosomal RNA", at positions 1 to 500 of the family's 2925-position model. The record is from RNAcentral. Lineage: Bacteria; Pseudomonadati; Bacteroidota; Bacteroidia; Bacteroidales; Bacteroidaceae.